GUAGGGAAUAUUAGAAAUGGACGAAAGUCUGAUCUAGCAACACCGCGUGUGCGAAGAAGGCCUUCGGGUCGUAAAGCACUUUUUGGAAGGAAUAGGAAGGAAUGUACUUCCAGAAUAAGUCUCGGCUAACUACGUGCCAGCAGCCGCGGUAACACGUAGGAGGCAAACGUUAUCCGGAUUUACUGGGCGUAAAGCGCGUGUAGGUGGUACUGUAAGUAGGGCGUGAAAGCUCCUGGCUCAACUGGGAGAGGCCGUUCUAAACUACAGAACUAGAGGAUGGUAGAGGGAGGUGGAAUUCCAGGUGUAGCGGUUGAAUGCGCAGAUAUCUGGAGGAACACCGGUGGCGAAGGCGGCCUCCUGGACCAUUCCUGACACUCAGACGCGAAAGCUAGGGUAGCAAACGGGAUUAGAAACCCGGGUAGUCC
RNAcentral lists this ribosomal RNA (425 nucleotides) under uncultured bacterium. RNAcentral describes it as "partial 16S ribosomal RNA". It matches the Rfam family "Bacterial small subunit ribosomal RNA", at positions 354 to 796 of the family's 1533-position model. The record is from RNAcentral.